Molecule: small nucleolar RNA, 134 nt
Organism: Sceloporus undulatus (fence lizard)
Lineage: Eukaryota; Metazoa; Chordata; Lepidosauria; Squamata; Phrynosomatidae
Product: small nucleolar RNA U109
Exons: 1
Source: RefSeq, a predicted model, not a curated record
CUGCAUGAGAGAAGUUUAUCAUUCUUCUGUCUUCCAAGGAGAAUGAAUAUUCCUUCAGUGCUAUAAUAUAAGGAGUUUUCAGGGCCACCAGCCUUGAAGUUAAGGUUGAGUGGUAGUAUAUUUCUUCUACAUAA